GUAGGGGGGGCAAGCGUUGUCCGGAAUUAUUGGGCGUAAAGAGCUCGUAGGGCGGUUCGGUAAGUCGGGGUGUGAAAAUCCAGGGGCUCAACCCUGGGACGCCACCCGAUACUGCUGUGACUAGAGUCCGGUAGAGGAGCGUGGAAUUUCUGGUGUAGCGGUGAAAUGCGCAGAUAUCAGAAGGAACACCAGCGGCGAAGGCGGCGCUCUGGGCCGGUACUGACGCUGAGGAGCGAAAGCGUGGGGAGCAAACAGGAUUAGAUACCCUGGUAGUCCACGCCGUAAACGUUGGGCACUAGGUAUGGGGUCUUAUCAACGGAUUCCGUGCCGUAGCUAACGCAUUAAGUGCCCCGCCUGGGGAGUACGGCCGCAAGGCUA
This 378-nucleotide ribosomal RNA is filed under the name uncultured organism. Its description in RNAcentral is "partial 16S ribosomal RNA". It matches the Rfam family "Bacterial small subunit ribosomal RNA", at positions 525 to 896 of the family's 1533-position model. The record is from RNAcentral.